AUUACUAAAAAUUUUUAUGCUUUAAGCAUAGGCAUAAAUGGACAGCACAAAACUUUAAGAUGCAGAAAAAUAUAUUAUAACUAGUAUCAAUGUCAAUUCGAUAUUCAAAGUACUGACAUAACAGCAGGAGCAUUAUUACUUCUGAUAGAAGUAAUAAUGCUUAUUUCGUCUUGAAGAGUUAUCAUUAUUUAUUAUU
RNAcentral lists this small RNA (196 nucleotides) under Rickettsia prowazekii. Its description in RNAcentral is "partial sR68 non-coding RNA". Lineage: Bacteria; Pseudomonadati; Pseudomonadota; Alphaproteobacteria; Rickettsiales; Rickettsiaceae. The record is from RNAcentral.